RNAcentral lists this ribosomal RNA (442 nucleotides) under uncultured bacterium. Its description in RNAcentral is "partial 16S ribosomal RNA". It matches the Rfam family "Bacterial small subunit ribosomal RNA", at positions 338 to 795 of the family's 1533-position model. The record is from RNAcentral.
CCUACGGGUGGCAGCAGUGGGGAAUAUUGCACAAUGGGCGAAACCCUGAUGCAGCGACGCCGCGUGAGCGAAGAAGUAUUUCGGUAUGUUAAGCCCUAUCAGCAGGGAAGAAGGAAUGACGGUACCUGCGUAAGAAGCACCUGCUAAAUACGUGCCAGUGGCCUCGGUAAUACGUAGGGUGCAAGCGUUAUCCGGAUUUACUGGGGGUAAAGGGAGCGCAGGCGGUACGGCAAGCCUGGUGUGAAAGCCUGCGGCCCAACCGCGGGACUGCAGUGGGACCCACCGGGCUGGAGUGCCGGAGAGGUAGGCGGAAUGCCUAGUGUAGCGGUGAAAUGCGUAGAUAUGAGGAGGAACUCCAGUGGCGAAGGCGGCAUACUGGACGGCGACUGACGCUGAGGCUCGAAAGCGUGGGGAGCAAACAGGAUUAGAUACCCUAGUAGUC